AUGGCCGAACCACCCUGAACUUGUCCAAUCUCAUCUGAUCUCAGAAGCUAAGUGGGACUGGCUCUGUUCAGUACUUGGAUGGGAAAUACCAGCUGACUUCAGAAUGACUAUC
Ribosomal RNA from Ursus americanus (American black bear), 112 nucleotides. NCBI's taxonomy places the organism in Eukaryota, Metazoa, Chordata, Mammalia, Carnivora, Ursidae. The record is from Ensembl.